This 643-nucleotide long non-coding RNA is filed under the name Olea europaea subsp. europaea. Lineage: Eukaryota; Viridiplantae; Streptophyta; Magnoliopsida; Lamiales; Oleaceae. The record is from RNAcentral.
AAAAAUGUGACUAUUAUAUUGGAUGAAUAAUUUGCAGUUCUGGCCAGUUGUUGGAUGGGUAAAUCACCAAUAUGUACCACUUCAGUUCCGGGUUAUAGUCCAAAGUGUUGUUGCAUGUUUCUGGUAUGUUGUUUUCUCCCACUUGGAAUUUUUCACGUUACAUUCUAGAGAACAAGUUUAUCCUUGAUUUCACUUCUAUUACGACUAGAGUAACUUUGGAUUUGCAAUAUCAGUUUUUAUUUCAUUCCUUUCAUUGAUUUUCCAGGGGAAUAUUUUUGAACCUGCGAGCAAGGUCUAUGCCGCUAAAAAAAGGUUAAUGAAGUCGUGAGAAAGGAAUUUGCAACAAGUACGAUUAUGUAGUCUCUGGACACUUGACUUUGCCUCUCUUAACUUGUAUUUUUCUUGAGCAGUUUAGACGUAAAAUCUGAAUGUCGAUGCUAUUGCGUAUCUGUAAGCACUUUAUUAUGCCGAACUAUUUAUUUAUCCAAGCUGUGGUAGUAAUGGCUUUUUCGAGAAUAGUCUUUUUUAUUUUUUGCCUCAGAAAAGAAAUGGUCCUAUAAUUUGCAAUAGUUUGGCCUUCAGGGAUUGAAUUUAUGUCCUGAUGAUAUUCAAUUUGUCACUGUCCAUGAUGUGAAAAGGGUAA